AUCAAAUUUCUAAGGGCAAAUGGUGGAUGCCUUGGCAUCUGGAGCCGAUGAAGGACGUAGUAAUCUGCGAUAAGCCUCGGGGAGUCGAUAAACGGGCGUUGAUUCGAGGAUUUCCGAAUGGGGGAACCCGGCCGCAUUGUGUGUGGUCACUCCGGUCUGAAUAUAUAGGGCUGUGAGGGGGAACGUGGGGAAGUGAAACAUCUCAGUACCCACAGGAAGAGAAAACAAUAGUGAUUCCGUUAGUAGUGGCGAGCGAACGCGGAUGGGGCUAAACCGGUUGUGUGUGAUACCAGGUAGGGGUUGCAUGAUCGGGGUUGUGGGACAUGCGUGGUCGUUCUAUCUGGCGGCUGGCGUUUGCGCAUUGUGUAGGUGAACAGGUUUGAAUGCCUGACCGUAGGGGGUGCGAGUCCCGUAGCUGAAACAUGGUGUGUGCGUUUGUGUGUAUCCCAAGUAGCGCGGAGCCCGUGAAACUCUGUGUGAAUCUGUCGGGACCACCCGAUAAGCCUAAAUACUUCCAGGUGACCGAUAGCGGACGAGUACCGUGAGGGAAAGGUGAAAAGUACCCCGGGAGGGGAGUGAAAUAGUACCUGAAACCAUUUGCUUACAAUCCGUCGGAGCCUUUUGGGGUGACGGCGUGCCUUUUGAAGAAUGAGCCUGCGAGUUAGUGAUGUGUGGCGAGGUUAACCCGUGUGGGGUAGCCGUAGCGAAAGCGAGUCUGAAGAGGGCGUUGAGUCGCAUGUUCUAGACCCGAAGCGAAGUGAUCUAUCCAUGGCCAGGUUGAAGCGAGGGUAAAGCCUUGUGGAGGACCGAACCCACCUAGGUUGAAAACUGGGGGGAUGAGCUGUGGUUAGGGGUGAAAGGCC
RNAcentral lists this ribosomal RNA (863 nucleotides) under Gulosibacter molinativorax. Its description in RNAcentral is "bacterial LSU rRNA". It matches the Rfam family "Bacterial large subunit ribosomal RNA", at positions 1 to 830 of the family's 2925-position model. The record is from RNAcentral. Lineage: Bacteria; Bacillati; Actinomycetota; Actinomycetes; Micrococcales; Microbacteriaceae.